RNAcentral lists this ribosomal RNA (434 nucleotides) under uncultured archaeon. RNAcentral describes it as "bacterial SSU rRNA". It matches the Rfam family "Archaeal small subunit ribosomal RNA", at positions 19 to 458 of the family's 1478-position model. The record is from RNAcentral.
GGACCUGACUGCUAUCGGAUUGAUACUAAGCCAUGCGAGUCAUUGUAGCAAUACAAGGCAUACGGCUCAGUAACGCGUAGUCAACCUAACCUAUGGACGGGAAUAACCUCGGGAAACUGAGAAUAAUGCCCGAUAGAACAUUAUGCCUGGAAUGGUUUAUGUUCCAAAUGAUUUAUCGCCGUAGGAUGGGACUGCGGCCUAUCAGUUUGUUGGUGAGGUAAUGGCCCACCAAGACUAUUACAGGUACGGGCUCUGAGAGGAGUAGCCCGGAGAUGGGUACUGAGACACGGACCCAGGCCCUAUGGGGCGCAGCAGGCGAGAAAACUUUGCAAUGUGCGAAAGCACGACAAGGUUAAUCCGAGUGGUUUCUGCUAAAGGAACCUUUUGUCGGUCCUAGAAACACCGAUGAAUAAGGGGUGGGCAAGUUCUGGUGU